This 860-nucleotide ribosomal RNA is filed under the name uncultured Planctomycetota bacterium. Its description in RNAcentral is "bacterial SSU rRNA". It matches the Rfam family "Bacterial small subunit ribosomal RNA", at positions 58 to 922 of the family's 1533-position model. Lineage: Bacteria; Pseudomonadati; Planctomycetota. The record is from RNAcentral.
CAAGUCGAACGAAUCCCGUGGGGGUAACUCUGCGGGGGAAGUGGCGAAAGGGGCAGUAAAGCGUGGGUAACCUACCCCGGGGAUCGGGAUAGCCGUCCUAACGGACGGGUAAUACCGGGCGAUCUGGCGUGGAGGCAUCUUCGUGCCAGGAGAUGAAUUUCGCCUCGGGAGGGGCUCACGUAGUAUUAGCUUGUUGGUGGGGUAACGGCCCACCAAGGCCAAGAUGCUUAGCGGGUGUGAGAGCACGACCCGCGCCACUGGCACUGAGACACUGGCCAGACUCCUACGGGAGGCUGCAGUCGAGGAUCUUCGGCAAUGGGCGCAAGCCUGACCGAGCGACGCCGCGUGUGCGAUGAAGGCCUUCGGGUUGUAAAGCACUGUCGAGGGGGAGAAAAGCCCGCAAGGGUCUGAUCUAUCCCUGGAGGAAGCACGGGCUAAGUUCGUGCCAGCAGCCGCGGUAAGACGAACCGUGCGAACGUUGUUCGGAUUCACUGGGCUUAAAGGGCGCGUAGGCGGGUUAUCAAGUCGGGGGUGAAAUCUUUCAGCUCAACUGGAAAAGUGCCUUCGAUACUGAUGAUCUUGAGGGAGGUAGGGGCAUGUGGAACUUCCGGUGGAGCGGUGAAAUGCGUAGAUAUCGAAAGGAACGCCGGUGGCGAAAGCGACGUGCUGGACCUCUUCUGACGCUGAGGCGCGAAAGCCAGGGGAGCGAACGGGAUUAGAUACCCCGGUAGUCCUGGCCCUAAACGAUGGGUACUAGGUUGUGGACUUGACAUGGGUUCACAGCCGAAGCCAAAGUGUUAAGUACCCCGCCUGGGGAGUAUGGUCGCAAGGCUGAAACUCAAAGGAAUUGACGGGGGCUC